Molecule: long non-coding RNA, 939 nt
Filed under: Physcomitrium patens
Lineage: Eukaryota; Viridiplantae; Streptophyta; Bryopsida; Funariales; Funariaceae
Description: long non-coding RNA (PPAT_LNC001193)
Source: RNAcentral
ACCCUAACCCUAAAACUUGGUUCAAGUCAUACCUUGCUGUGGAACACAUGGUUCAGCAGAGGGGGACAAAAAGAGCUCAUUCAAGGUACACUUGUGUGUUUUAUUUUUUAUUUUAUUUUAUUUUAUUUAUUGAUAAACUUGAUAGAUGCCAUCCCAACUUGCUAUGUGUGAACAGGUCCUUCUGGUUGCAUUAUUUAGGGUGAGGACCGAGAAUGGGGAUUAGGGAGCCAUGGCUUUGCUGUAGUGUCAUAAUCCCUUUUCUUAAGGGGGCUCAGCCAAGCUGGCAACUUUUGUCCAAAGAUGAUAAAAAGCGCCCUUGGAAACCGGGUUUGUCAUGGUUUAUGGCUUAGAAUGCCCACAAUCCCAGUUUUAGGGCAUGACAACGUCUGUGUUGUUUUUUUUUAAUAUUACUUUAGGGUUUUGAGAUUAUGUUGUUGGAUUGAAGCUCAUGCCUUACAAAAAUUGGAUAUAUAAACUCCAAAAUGCCCAAGCAUUGCUCAAGUUGUGGAGACCAGGUGUUGGCAUUUUUGGCAAUGGUUGUCUCAACUUGGGGGCAUGUUUUGCAUGCAAAAAGUCUUUGUCUAUGGGAAGGACAAAGCCAUAGCUUCAUCCACCAUAAAUGAGGUUUUUUGAAUGGAAAUAGUCGAUUUUGAUAUCAAGAUUUUAAAAUGUUAUAUAUGGUGCAAUAUAUUAGGUGGUGUGAUUUAGACAUUGUGAACUACAACUAUUUAUGUACACAAACACUUAGAAACAAAGUUGCAUACAUGCUAUAGUUUUAGUAUGUACACUUUUUGUAUUUUGUUAUUGAUUAUUGAUCUUUGCUCUAUUCAUUAAUGUUUGUAACUACCUCACUAGAUACCAUCUUCUGUUGUGCCAUCAAAAAUGGUUGUUACACCUUUAGAUUUGUCAAGAAAUCAAGGUAGAAUUAAAUGAAUAUGU